RNAcentral lists this unclassified non-coding RNA (328 nucleotides) under soil metagenome. RNAcentral's name for it is "partial contains 5.8S ribosomal RNA, internal transcribed spacer 2, and large subunit ribosomal RNA". The stretch from base 1 to 119 matches the Rfam family "5.8S ribosomal RNA", at positions 35 to 154 of the family's 154-position model. The record is from RNAcentral.
GAUGAAGAACGCAGCGAAAUGCGAUAAGUAGUGUGAAUUGCAGAAUUCAGUGAAUCAUCGAAUCUUGAACGCACAUUGCGCCCCUUGGUAUCCCGAGGGGCAUGCCUGUUCGAGCGUCAUUUCACCACUCAAGCCUGGCUUGGUGUUGGGCGACGUCCUCUUUGGGGACGCGCCUCGAAACGCUCGGCGGCGUGGCACCGGCUUUAAGCGUAGCAGAAUCUUUCGCUUUGGAAGUCGGGGCCCCGUCUGCCGGAAGACCUGCUCGCAAGGUUGACCUCGGAUCAGGCAGGGAUACCCGCUGAACUUAAGCAUAUCAAUAAGCGGAGGA